Molecule: ribosomal RNA, 450 nt
Filed under: uncultured bacterium
Lineage: Bacteria
Description: partial 16S ribosomal RNA
Rfam family: Bacterial small subunit ribosomal RNA
Source: RNAcentral
CCUACGGGUGGCAGCAGUAAGGAAUAUUGGUCAAUGGACGCAAGUCUGACCCAGCCAUGCCGCGUGGAGGAUGAAGGUCCUCUGGAUUGUAAACUUCUUUUCUUUGGGAAGAAACUCCCGAUUUCCAUCGGGAUUGACGGUACCAGAUGAAUAAGCACCGGCUAACUCCGUGCCAGCAGCCGCGGUAAUACGGAGGGUGCAAGCGUUAUCCGGUUUCACUGGGUUUAAGGGGGGCAGGGGUGGGCGGGGAGAAAUCUCCGGGCUGAACCCGGAAAAUGCCAUUGAUACUAUUUGUCUUGAAUACUCUGGAGGUGAGCGGAAUAUGUCAUGUAGCGGUGAAAUGCUUAGAUAUGACAUAGAACACCCAUUGCGAAGGCAGCUCACUACGGAAAUAUUGACGCUGAGGCACGAAAGCGUAGGGAUCAAACAGGAUUAGAUACCCCUGUAGUC